Molecule: long non-coding RNA, 1299 nt
Filed under: Zalophus californianus (California sea lion)
Lineage: Eukaryota; Metazoa; Chordata; Mammalia; Carnivora; Otariidae
Description: lncRNA (ENSZCAG00015008532.1)
Source: RNAcentral
AGCUAUAUUAAGAUAAAGGAAAGCCGUGUUUUUAACAAUGCAGCUAUAAAAGGUUUUGACUAAAACAAGAAAAAUUUAGAUAAAAUUUUUCUAACAGGCUAACUAAAAAAGAAGAAGAAGAAGAAGGAGGAGGAGGAGGAGAAGAAGAAGAAGAAGAAGAAAGAAAAGAAAAAAAAAGAAAAAAGAAAAGUUUCCAGGUGGGAACCCUAAACCAAUGAUCAAAAAAACCCUUCUUUUCUCCUGUGGGAUCCCACUGUGAAAAAAUUAUUUACUUGUUCCUUAGAUCUGAAAAACACAAACAGUGGAGCUUAUCCAGUGUGAGGGAAGCCGGUUUGGGCGUUUCAAUAUGUUCCCUAUAGGACCGGGUCUAGGGAUUAGGGUGCUACUGUCUUAUUUGACUUGUUCUAUCUGUGGUGUUCAUGUAGAGACCCAGACCUCAACAUACGAAUCAUACGUGAAAAGACCACAGCUUAGUUACAGCUGGCUGCUUGGCUGGAUGGCUGUCAACACAGAGCCUGGAAUCUGAGGUCCGGCCACCGCUGGGAGUUUGCACGGAAGCGGGACAAUUUUGAGUGGGAGGGAGUCGCCAACGCCCCACAAAGUGCUGCCUUCUCUCGGAACCGCUCGCCCGGGCCCCGCAGGCUCCAGGCCGCCAGCUCGGGGCCUUGGCCCGUCGCGCAGAGGACGCGGCCAAGGCAGCGGGGGGGGAACACUGGGGCGGCCAGAGCCCCGCAGCGCCAGCGGAGGCGCAGACUCCCCAGUCGCCCGCCUCUCCCAGCCCCGCGGCCUGGGCCGUCAAUCAAGCUCGGCCGGCCCCGCCCCUGGGCUGCAGCGGGUGGCCAAUCAGAGCCAAGCUCCGCAGCGAUGAGCUCAGUCGGCUCGCUUCCCAUUGGGCGGCUAUAUUAAGAAAGUGGCUGAACUCUUUAAAUAGCGGGCGCUAGGGCCGCAGCCUGCAUCUGCCACCGCAGUCUGGCUGUAGUCGAGUGCUCCCCUGUUCCCUGGGCGAAAUCUAUACAAACCGGGGAGGGGACUAGGCCGGCUCUGCUGUUGCAGCCACCGUUUGCGCACAAAGGCGCGGGCCCCGGGCCCGGGGCGAGAAGAGCGGCCACCGCCCGGGAGCAGCGCGGAGACGCCCGGCGCGCCCUAUGCCCCCGCGCCCCCGCCGCGGCAGCCUGAGCGCACCGAGAGAACGCGCCACCGCGGGGCCCGGGUGCAGCUAGCGACCCUCGCCCCCGAGCGCGCAGCCCGAGGUGAGCGGCGAGCGGGACGGCAGCGAGGCGUUCGCGGGCCCCCUCCUGC